AGCAGCGUGGCUCAGUGGAAAGAGCCUGGGCUUCGGAGUCAAAGGCCAUGGGUUCGACUCCCAGCUCUGCCA
This 72-nucleotide transfer RNA is filed under the name Ornithorhynchus anatinus (platypus). It matches the Rfam family "tRNA". From Rfam's summary of the family: Transfer RNA (tRNA) molecules are approximately 80 nucleotides in length. Their secondary structure includes four short double-helical elements and three loops (D, anti-codon, and T loops). Further hydrogen bonds mediate the characteristic L-shaped molecular structure. tRNAs have two regions of fundamental functional importance: the anti-codon, which is responsible for specific mRNA codon recognition, and the 3' end, to which the tRNAs corresponding amino acid is attached (by aminoacyl-tRNA synthetases). tRNAs cope with the degeneracy of the genetic code in two manners: having more than one tRNA (with a specific anti-codon) for a particular amino acid; and 'wobble' base-pairing, i.e. permitting non-standard base-pairing at the 3rd anti-codon position. The record is from Rfam by way of RNAcentral. Lineage: Eukaryota; Metazoa; Chordata; Mammalia; Monotremata; Ornithorhynchidae.